GACGAACGCUGGCGGCGUGCUUAACACAUGCAAGUCGAACGGAAAGGCCCUGCUUUUGUGGGGUGCUCGAGUGGCGAACGGGUGAGUAACACGUGAGUAACCUGCCCUUGCUUUUGGGUUACUUCCAGGAACCUGGGGUUAUUACCGAAAAGGAGCCCUUGCUGCAUGUGGGGGGUUGGAAAUUUUCGGCGGUUGGGGAUGGACUCGCGGCUUAUCAGCUUGUUGGUGGGGUAGUGGCUUACCAAGGCUUUGACGGGUAGCCGGCCUGAGAGGGUGACCGGCCACAUUGGGACUGAGAUACGGCCCAGACUCCUACGGGAGGCAGCAGUGGGGAAUAUUGCACAAUGGGCGGAAGCCUGAUGCAGCAACGCCGCGUGCGGGAUGACGGCCUUCGGGUUGUAAACCGCUUUCGCCUGUGACGAAGCGUGAGUGACGGUAAUGGGUAAAGAAGCACCGGCUAACUACGUG
This 468-nucleotide ribosomal RNA is filed under the name uncultured bacterium. Its description in RNAcentral is "partial 16S ribosomal RNA". It matches the Rfam family "Bacterial small subunit ribosomal RNA", at positions 28 to 507 of the family's 1533-position model. The record is from RNAcentral.